AGAGUUUGAUCAUGGCUCAGGACUAACGCUGGCGGCGUGCCUAAUGCAUGCAAGUCGGACGCGCGUGGCUUCGGCCAGGCGAGUGGCAGACGGGUGAGGAACGCGUGGACGACCUGCCCCGGGGUGGGGGAUACCCCGCAGAAAUGCAGGAUAAGCCCGCGUACGCUCUUGCGGUUGCGGCCGGGAGAGGAAAGCCUACGGGCGCCCUGGGAGGGGUCUGCGGCCCAUCAGCUGGGCGGUGGGGUAACGGCCUACCGAGGCGAUGACGGGUAGCUGGUCUGAGAGGAUGGCCAGCCACACGGGGACUGGGAGACGGCCCCGACUCCUACGGGAGGCAGCAGCAAGGGAUUUUCCGCAAUGGGGGCAACCCUGACGGAGCGACGCCGCGUGCGGGAUGACGUCUUUCGGGAUGUAAACCGCUUUUCGGGGGGGUGAGGAAGGACAGUACCCUCGGAAGAAGCCCCGGCUAACUACGUGCCAGCAGCCGCGGUAAUAC
Molecule: ribosomal RNA, 496 nt
Filed under: uncultured bacterium
Lineage: Bacteria
Description: bacterial SSU rRNA
Rfam family: Bacterial small subunit ribosomal RNA
Source: RNAcentral